RNAcentral lists this ribosomal RNA (440 nucleotides) under uncultured bacterium. RNAcentral describes it as "bacterial SSU rRNA". It matches the Rfam family "Bacterial small subunit ribosomal RNA", at positions 69 to 479 of the family's 1533-position model. The record is from RNAcentral.
GACAUGGGAAGCUUGCUUCCUAUGAAAUCGAGUGGCAAACGGGUGAGUAACGCGUAAACAACCUGCCCUUCGGAUGGGGAUAACAGCCGGAAACGGCUGCUAAUACCGAAUACGAUCUUUUCGUCGCAUGACGGAAAGAAGAAAGGAUGGCCUCUAUACAAAGCUAUCGCCGAAGGAGGGGUUUGCGUCUGAUUAGCUGGUUGGAGGGGUAACGGCCCAACAAGGCGAUGAUCAGUAGCCGGUCUGAGAGGAUGAACGGCCACAUUGGGACUGAGACACGGCCCAGACUCCUACGGGAGGCAGCAGUGGGGAAUCUUCCGCAAUGGACGAAAGUCUGACGGAGCAACGCCGCGUGAGUGAAGAAGGUCUUCGGAUUGUAAAGCUCUGUUAUACGGGACGAAAAAGACGGAUGCCAACAGUAUCCGUCCGGUGACGGUACC